UGCAUCUAGCCGACCUCAAGCCUCGACCCCAUGGCGCCCGAGGUCCACGAGCUCGACCCCAAGAUCCUACUAAAAGCCCCCGUUGCUAGCCACCUUCAGAUCCAUCGGCUGGCCACCAGACCUACCGGAGCCUCGCCCGAGAUGCCCAUCACCCCUCGUCGACCUUGCCGGCCAUCCCAGUCGUCCCUAAUCAACAGUAGUAGCCAAGGAGCUGCUCAACCCCGAGCGACCACCCACGUAGGAAC
This 245-nucleotide long non-coding RNA is filed under the name Hordeum vulgare. RNAcentral's name for it is "long non-coding RNA (HVUL_LNC009619)". Lineage: Eukaryota; Viridiplantae; Streptophyta; Magnoliopsida; Poales; Poaceae. The record is from RNAcentral.